Long non-coding RNA from Mauremys reevesii (Reeves's turtle), 875 nucleotides. RefSeq lists it as uncharacterized. The transcript has 5 exons. NCBI's taxonomy places the organism in Eukaryota, Metazoa, Chordata, Testudines, Geoemydidae. The record is from RefSeq and is a predicted model, not a curated record.
UUUCCCUAUGGAACUUCCCUUUACGUGUCACAAAGAGAGAGAAAGGAGGAGAGAAUGCAUCUGUGGAUGGAGAGAGAUGAUACCAAAGUCAUCCAUAGUGAAACCUCCCUCAUGUCAGUGGCUUUACACCACAGAUGAAUUUGUCACAGCAUGUUUAAAAUUACAACUUCUUGAUUGCCACUUCACAUGGAGCAGAUGUUUUCAGAGAUCUAUCGAUGAUGACUCCAAGAUCUCGUUUGAGUGAUAGCAGCUAAUUCAGACCUCAUCAUUUUGUGUAUGGAUCUUCCUGGUGUCCUCUGCAUUGAAGAUCGAUGCAAAUAAUUCAUUUAGGUUCUCCACGACGACCUUGUCUUCCUUGAGUGCUCCUUUAGUACCUCAAUCAUCUCAAUCAGCCCCGCUGAUUGUUUGGUGGGCUUCCUCCAGCCAGGUAACCCCACUGUCGGUACCAGCAUCCCAUGGUAUCAGAUCCUGAACGACUUUCUGAACCCAGCCACAAUCCUUGGUACAAAGAUCUUCAGCUGACAGGCCUACAUUCCAGUCAGGACUGGGGCCUAGCAUGAUCCUGAUGGAGGCAUUCACUCACAUGCCCUUCAGACUCAGACAACAAUGAGAAGUAGACUUUGUCUACUGAUUGAAGACAGAUGAUUAGAAAUCCACAACAAAGGAUAUUUUAGACACAUUUUGAUGGAAACCUUUUGUAAAUUGCUGUUCCCUGUUAUAAGUUCAUAGCAGUAGAGUUGGAUCUUUGUUUGAAACCACUGUUAGAAAAGUAAAUAUUAAUCAUGUUCUCAGAAUAAUAUAAAAUCAAUCAACUGCACAUGAGACUUACUAAAUCAACAUUGAACCUGUUUAUAAGUCUUUGUGAACACUUUGCU